UGGGGAAUUGUUCGCAAUGGGCGCAAGCCUGACGACGCAACGCCGCGUGGGGGAUGAAGGUCUUCGGAUUGUAAACCCCUGUCGAGCGGGACGAAUGACUCACGACCUAACACGUCGUGGGAAUGACGGUACCGCUAAAGGAAGCCACGGCUAACUCUGUGCCAGCAGCCGCGGUAAUACAGAGGUGGCAAGCGUUGUUCGGAAUUCCUUGGCGUAAAGGGCGCGUAGGCGGCCUUCUAAGUCAGACGU
Molecule: ribosomal RNA, 249 nt
Filed under: uncultured bacterium
Lineage: Bacteria
Description: partial 16S ribosomal RNA
Rfam family: Bacterial small subunit ribosomal RNA
Source: RNAcentral